CCGAACAUGCUACGCUGUCUGGAGGAUGGCUCGGCUUGAGAGCCGACGAAGGGCGCGGCAAGCGGCGAUACAGCCCCGGGUAGGCGCAUGCAGCCUUAGAACCGGGGAUUCCUGAAUGGGACUUCCUAGUAAUGCUCCUUCACGGAGCGGGAACCCCCCGAACGGAAGCAUCUUAGUAGGGGGAGGAAAAGAAACCAAAACGGGAUUCCCUUAGUAGCAGCGAGCGAAAUGGGAAAAGUCCAAACUGAAUCCCAUAUUGAAAAAUAUGGGAGAUGUAGUGUUAAGGGUCCAGCUUCCUCUUCACUGGUCAAGCUGAAGUGGUCUGAAAUGACCAGCCAUAGAGGGUGAUAGCCCCUUAAGCAUAAACUAGAAAGAGUUGAGCUGGAAUCCCAGACUACCGUACCAUGGCUUUGGUGCGGAAAAUUGGGAGUCACCAACUUCCAAGACUAAAUACGCCUCAAGACCGAUAGCGCACUAGUACGGUGACGGAAAACUGAAAAGUACCCCGGAAUGGGGGUGAAAAGUGCCUGAAACCAGACAGUAACAGACGUGUGCAGCCCAGAAGGAAAGAUCCCUCUUAAAGGAAACCGCUGUGAAGCGGUUGUACAAGAGAGGGGGACCAGGGUUGCAUGUUCCGUCUCGAAACACGGGCCGGGGAGUUUAUAGCUGUGGCAAGCCUAAGGGUUAAAAGCCCGUAAGCAUAGGGAAACCAAUAUGCACGCAACUACCGAAAGGUAGCCAGGUGCGAGGUCUGAAAGGGCCUGAAGUUACAGCUAUACAUACUAGAAACCAGACGAUCUAUCCCUGGGCAGAGUGAAGUUAGGCGAAAGCCUAAUGGAAGCUCGAAGGGGUUCUGACGUGCAAUUCGUUCCUCAGACCUGGGGAUAGGGGCUAAAGACCAAUCUAGUCUGGUGAUAGCUAGUUCCCUCCGAAGUAGAUCUCAGUCUAGUCGUGAGCGAGGUAGCAGGUGGGGUAGGGCACUGAUUGGAAAGCAAGGGUCCGAAAGGAUCCACUUUUCUUUCAAACUUCGAAUCCACCUGCGCUGUAGACCUCAUGAAACGGGUUAAUGGGGGUAAGCUCCAUGACCGCGAGGGGGACAACCCAGACUGAGGUUAAGGUCCCCAAGUGCUGGCUAAAUGUCAAACAAAAGGGCGUCGUCAGCCUAAGACAGCGGGGAGGUAGGCUUAGAAGCAGCCAUCCUUCAAAGAAAGCGUAACAGCUCCCCCGCCGAGGCUAACGGCCCCGAAAAUGGACGGGACUAAGCCAGCCACCGAUACCUCAGAGCACAACAUAUAGUUGUGUUGGUAGGAGGGCGUCCUGGCUGGACAGAAGCUGGGCUGUGAAGUCCAGUGGACCGGUUAGGAUUGCAGAUCCCGGUGGUAGUAACAGCAAAGAGAAGUGAGAAUCUUCUCCGCCGAAAGGGCCAGGGUUCCCCGGCAACGAUCUUCAGCCGGGGGUAAGUCGGUCCUAAGACAUGACUUAACCGAACAUGUCGAACAAGGGAAUCCGGUUAAAAUUCCGGAACCACAAAGGUACACGCGGCAACGCAAGUCCAUUAUCUGACGUUUUAGGAUAAGCUGAGCAGGGCUGUCGCCUUGUUUAACCGUAUAAACCUGGGGAGUGCCGUAAUGGCGAGAACCAGGCGAAAUCGGGAAUAGCCAACCGUUUUAGGUAGGUUCAGCUAAUUUCUGGAAUCACUGAAAAAGAUAAUGGAAUGGAUCCUUUGUGACCGUACCUAGAACCAACACAGGUGCCCCUAGGCAAGAAACCUAAGGCGUGUCGGGUAUACACUAAUGCGAGGGAAUUCGGCAAAUUAGCCCCGUACCUUCGGUAUAAGGGGUGCCUGCUCUUACAACCAUGUGUUGUCGAGUGCAGGUCGCAGUGACAAAGGGGUCUCGACUGUUUAAUAAAAACACAGGAAGCCGCAAGCGCGAAAGCGUGUGAACGGCUUCUGAAUCCUGGCCAGUACAGGUACCUGAAACCUGGGUCCAACUGGGCUAAGGGCCUGCAAACGCCGGGAGUAACUCUGACUCUCUCAAGGUAGCCAAAUGCCUUGUCGGGUAAGUUCCGACGUGCAUGAAUGGAUCAACGAGGGCCCCACUGUCCCCGCGUAGUACCCGGUGAAACCACAUAACGUGGACGAACAGUCCACGAUCUCCCAGCGGGAAAAGAAGUCCCUGUGGAGUUUUACUGCAGCCUGCCGCUGGAAUACGGUUGUGGAUGCAGAGUGUAGUCGGGAGCCGUUAAUCCCGUCUUCUCCGGGAGACGGGGUAGGCAACAAUGGAACACCGACCUUCUGCAACCGUGUUUCUGACCCACACUUUUGUGUGGGAACACCGGUAGGUGGGCAGUUCGGCUGGGGCGGCACGCCCUUGAAAAGAUAUCAAGGGCGCCCUAAGGUUGGCUCAGGGGGGACAGAAACCCUCCGUAGAGUGCAAGGGCAAAAGCCAGCCUGACUGGAUCCUCAACAGUAAGGGAUGCAGAGGCGAAAGCCGGGCUUAGCGAUCAUCCAUGUUUCCCCCUUGGUGGGGGCUGGAUGUGUCAGAAAAAUUACCCUAGGGAUAACAGGCUUGUCGCGGGCGAGAGUCCCCAUCGACCCCGCGGCUUGGUACCUCGAUGUCGGCUCUUCCUAUCCUGGCCCUGCAUAAGGGGCCAAGGGUGAGGCUGCUCGCCUAUUAAAAGGGAACGUGAGCUGGGUUCAGACCGUCGUGAGACAGGUUGGUCCCUAUCUACCGCAGGCGUCGAAUCUUGAGGGGAGUUGGCCCUUGUACGAGAGGAUCGGGCUGAACUGACCUCUGGUCUACCAGCUGUUCCGCCAGGAGCACCGCUGGGUAGCUAAGUCGGGAAGGGAUAAGAGCUGAAAGCAUCUAAGCUCGAAGCCCACCCCAAGAUUAGGAUUCAUAGAUUCCUCAGAGAUGAUGAGGUUGAUAGGCUGUAGGUGUAAGUGGAGUAAUCCAUUAAGCCAAGCAGUACUAAUAAAUCAUAAACCAUAUUUGGCUAGCGAUUAAUGAC
Molecule: ribosomal RNA, 3012 nt
Filed under: Candidatus Nealsoniibacteriota bacterium
Lineage: Bacteria; Candidatus Nealsoniibacteriota
Description: bacterial LSU rRNA
Rfam family: Archaeal large subunit ribosomal RNA
Source: RNAcentral